CCUACGGGAGGCAGCAGUGGGGAAUAUUGGACAAUGGGGGAAACCCUGAUCCAGCAAUGCCGCGUGUGUGAAGAAGGUCUUCGGAUUGUAAAGCACUUUUGGCAGGGAGGCGGUACCUGCAGAAUAAGCCCCGGCUAACUUCGUGCCAGCAGCCGCGGUAAUACGAAGGGGGCUAGCGUUGCUCGGAAUGACUGGGCGUAAAGGGCGCGUAGGCGGCAUAGACAGUCAGAAGUGAAAUUCCUGGGCUCAACCUGGGGACUGCUUUUGAUACGUUUAAGCUAGAGUAUGGAAGAGGGUUGUGGAAUUUCCAGUGUAGAGGUGAAAUUCGUAGAUAUUGGAAAGAACACCGGUGGCGAAGGCGGCAACCUGGUCCAUACUGACGCUGAGGCGCGAAAGCGUGGGGAGCAAACAGGAUUAGAUACCCUUGUAGUC
RNAcentral lists this ribosomal RNA (432 nucleotides) under uncultured bacterium. RNAcentral's name for it is "partial 16S ribosomal RNA". It matches the Rfam family "Bacterial small subunit ribosomal RNA", at positions 338 to 795 of the family's 1533-position model. The record is from RNAcentral.